GUGGGUAGUUUGACUGGGGCGGUCUCCUCCCAAAGAGUAACGGAGGAGCACGAAGGUUGGCUAAUCCUGGUCGGACAUCAGGAGGUUAGUGCAAUGGCAUAAGCCAGCUUGACUGCGAGCGUGACGGCGCGAGCAGGUGCGAAAGCAGGUCAUAGUGAUCCGGUGGUUCUGAAUGGAAGGGCCAUCGCUCAACGGAUAAAAGGUACUCCGGGGAUAACAGGCUGAUACCGCCCAAGAGUUCAUAUCGACGGCGGUGUUUGGCACCUCGAUGUCGGCUCAUCACAUCCUGGGGCUGAAGUAGGUCCCAAGGGUAUGGCUGUUCGCCAUUUAAAGUGGUACGCGAGCUGGGUUUAGAACGUCGUGAGACAGUUCGGUCCCUAUCUGCCGUGGGCGCUGGAGAAUUGAGGGGGGCUGCUCCUAGUACGAGAGGACCGGAGUGGACGCAUCACUGGUGUUCGGGUUGUCAUGCCAAUGGCACUGCCCGGUAGCUAAAUGCGGAAGAGAUAAGUGCUGAAAGCAUCUAAGCACGAAACUUGCCCCGAGAUGAGUUCUCCCUGAGACCUUGAGUCUCCUGAAGGAACGUUAAAGACUAUGACGUUGAUAGGUCGGGUGUGUAAGCGCAGCGAUGCGUUGAGCUAACCGAUACUAAUGAACCGUGAGGCUUAACCUU
Molecule: ribosomal RNA, 670 nt
Filed under: Enterobacter hormaechei
Lineage: Bacteria; Pseudomonadati; Pseudomonadota; Gammaproteobacteria; Enterobacterales; Enterobacteriaceae
Description: partial 23S ribosomal RNA
Rfam family: Bacterial large subunit ribosomal RNA
Source: RNAcentral